Alligator mississippiensis (American alligator) is the source of this 6006-nucleotide RNA transcript. It is a transcript of the gene named zinc finger protein 789, with no coding region annotated. The record is from RefSeq and is a predicted model, not a curated record. Lineage: Eukaryota; Metazoa; Chordata; Crocodylia; Alligatoridae. The transcript is spliced from 7 exons.
AACCCUGGGAGCAGCCCCGGCCCUGCCAGCUCCAGCCAGCAAAGGAUGAAGUGGGGGGGAACCGCAGGCAGGCGGGGAGGUUACAGCGGCGGUGGGAGGUGCUGGGCUGGCGCAGGCAGAGCGCCAUGGGGCUGGGGUCAGUCUGGCACGGGAGUGCUGGGCAGGGGCUGGCACUGCCUUCUCUGCAGUCUGUGGGGGCCCUUUGGAGAAAAGUGGGGUCGGCAGGGUUUUGUCCUGGGACCGGAGCUGAGUCCCACCUGGGCCCUGCCACAUGUCCAUGGGGGUCUGUGUGGGAAGAGGCCCUGGGGCACGUGCAGGGAAUUGUGGGCAGGGCUGUGGGGCUGGGAAGGAGGAGGGUGCCCCCUCCAGAUGCUGUUGUGGGGAAUGGGUGCUGUGGGGCACACGAGGACCCCUGGGAGACAGGACCAUGAGCUGUUGGGAGACGCUGCCGACGCGGACGCCACCUAGCCGUGGUGCAGCCACAUGGCUGUGGGGCCAUGGGUGAGGGCUGGGGGAACCCCGGGGCCAUGUGCAUGUCACUGUGGGGGGAGCUGUGUCCCCUGUGGAUGCUGUGGGGGAGGGGAGUCAGCGCUGUGGAGGCACUGGAGGGACCAUGGGGAUGGGAGACCUGGGCCACACUGGGUGUCAGGUGGGUGCUGCAGGGCCUGGCAAAGGUCAGGGCAGGCAUCAGGCUUGGGGGCGAGCAGCUGGGUUUGUGGGUUUCUGGAGCCCGCCCAGUUCCUGCAGCCUGUGUCAGCAGAAGGGGAAGCGAGGACGACCCUGAGGCUGCUCUGAGUGGGGGAUAGUCAGGGGCAUCAGGGCUGGGCAGACCUCACAGCUGGGCCGGGUCACGGUCCUGGGUCUCCCAUCAUGUGGUGAAGUCUGUGCUGUCUUCUUUCUCCCAGGGGCCUCAGAGGCUGGACGCUGUCGGCAGGGGCUGCACGUGCGUGCAGGGAGAGCAAGAGCCCAGGCCCCGGCUGGGUGAGGUCUCUCCUGGUGGAGACAGUGGCAGCUGUGGCCCUUCCCUUGGCAGCCCUGGAGCAGCCUGAGGUGCAGCUGGAGGAGCAGGAUCUGGGAGGCCUCCAGGCUGGAGCUGAGGGGGCAGGACAAGUCCCUCCUGUCGUCCAGGCUGGGACCAGCGGGGUGCCCCCAAGGUGGUCACAGUGAGUGGGAAGGUGGAGCAACUGCCCUCAGACAAGAUGCAGCCCACUGGGACACUGCAGAAACCUGGUCCUUCCUGGCUGGAGCAGCCAAAUGGCCAUCGUGCGGACAGGCCUGUGAAGGAGUCAGGAGAGAUGGAAAUACCAGGGCCUUAGGACAAGCCACCUCGCAUUCCCAGAAAGCAGUCCCUGCCCCACCAACAGUCAGGUGCUAGGACCCUGAGAAGAGCUGAGCAGCAGCCUCCUGAGAAGGGGCCUGUAAAGCUGGAGCUGCAGAGCGCUUCCCCAGGGAGACUGGAGGAGAGCUCCAUGACCCCUGAGCCAGGCCAAGUGCAGAAGGGGCAGGGCAGGCCUCCAAAGCAGGAGGCCAGCUUGGAGCUCUGGAAGGUGUUUGAGGACGUGGCUGUGUAUUUCACACAGAAGGAGUGGGAGCUACUGGAAGAUGAAGACAAGGUGCUUUACCAGGCCCAGAUGCUGAAGAAUUACCAAGCCCUCGUUUACCUGGGAUAUCGAGGUCCCACACCCGCCCUAAUCUGCAGCAUCCAGCAAGGACAGGUGGAGUUCUGGGUCUGUGAUGAUGAGGACCAUGGAGAAAUCUCAAGAUCAGAGGACCCGCUGCCAGCUAUUCCUGUUGGACAAGAAAGCAGCUGAGGCUCUUUCUGGCUGAUUCUGUUGAGGUUGACCUGGAACCCAGGAAGAGUUUCAGCAUGGUCUCAGGCUGCAUUAAAUGGCUCCAUGGCAUGGAUGGGAUUCACAAGAUUUCAGGAAGUGCCUGGCUGCUGAGCAGAGCUGAGGAGCAGCGUUGUGCAGAAGGGUCUGCAGACCUGGAGUCAGUACAAACUUCCCCAGGGAAUUUGGAUGAGGUGGACUCCCUGAGACGGAGCAAUGUCCUUCUCAUUGCUGGGCCAGAUUGUCCAUAUGGGGGAGAGGCCAUAUCGGUGCUUAGAGUGUGAGAAGAGCUUCACCCAUUCCUCCCAUCUGGUCCGGCAUCAGCUUAUCCACACAGGGGAGAAGCCACAUCAGUGCUUGGAGUGUGGGAAAAGCUUCAACCGAUCCUGUACUUUGGCCCAACACCAGCUUAUGCACACGGGGGAGAAGCCAUAUUGGUGCGUGGAGUGUGGGAAAAGCUUCAUUCGUUGCUCCAAUCUGGUCCAGCACCAGCUUAUCCACACAGGGGAGAAGCCACAUCAGUGCUCGGUGUGUGGGAAGAGCUUCUUCCUGUUGUCCAGCCUGACCAAACACCGGGUCACCCACAUGGGGAAGAAGCCACAUCUGCUCAGAAUGUGGGAAGAGCUUCACUUGAUCCUUCAUCCUGUCCCGGCACCCACUCAUCCACACAGAGAAGAAACCACAUCAGUGCUCAGUGCAGAAAGUGCUGCUUCCACUCCAAACUGGCCCAGCACCAGUGCAUCCCUAUCUGGGAGUUUCUAUAAUUCUGCCAGCAAUACAGGAAAGGCUUGGAGAUUGUAUACCUGCUUAGUAUCCACCAGUGUUUGUAUGCAGGGAAGCAGUCCCAUGCUGAUGCACUGCAGCCAUAGUUCACCCUUCAUUAAGCCUUUCAAGGUACUGCAAAAUCCAAAGUACAUAGAGGCUGGCCUCCCAGGUUAGAUGCAGGUGAGGGGUUAAAAGAAACACCUCAGGCAGAGACCAGCCCAGAUGCUGGGGGAACCUGUGAGGAGAUGAUCUUUGCAACAGCCUUGGAGCCUGUGCUAUCCCCAUCAUUCUCUAAAAGCAGCCAGUGCUCCUAGGGGGAGAAAUGCCUUCACAAUAGGUCCCUUCCCCAAGACAGCUGGCUCCAAAUGACAUCCAGGGACUGUCUUUGGCUGACUCCCAGCUUCGACUUCCAUCCUGGUCCCAGGUUUCUUGUAUGUGAGGCUCUAGAGUUGUAGGAAGGAGGACAUUUAUUUCUAGGGAACCAUUCCCUUCCACCCUGACCAUACCUUUCCUCCCCAUGGCAUCACCUGUCUCCCAGGCCUGCACAUGCCCAUCAGGGUCUGUAGGAAACUGCUACUGCUGCCCCAUGAGCCCAGUUUCUCAGGUUUUGCUUCUCAGCCCCUCAUCAGAACGGCACCGCCAAGUGUGAGCUGCUCCCCUCUUCUGCCCUCCCCACCCCCCUGCCCUGCACCUUCCUUCCCCUCAUGCCAUUCUCUAGAACAGAUUCCUUGGUAAUCAAGCCCCACAACUUAACACAAUACCCCUGUGGUUGGUCUCUAUGUCCUCUCCAGGGCUGUGACAUGGGAACAGAGCAGGGACCAGAACUCUUUCCUGGGAAGAUUUCUCUGUGAUUGCUCAGCCCCUUCCCUUUCCAGGGGAUUCAUCACAAUCCAGGGGUUUUUGCUAAGCCUCAGGAGCAGAAGUUGGUCACAUUCAAGGCAUCACACCCAGGUCCUGCUGUGCAGCCAAGAACCCUGCCCUUUUGAACGAACCUCUGGCCAGGAGCAAGUAGAGUCUUUUCUGGGUUAAAUGCAAUAGUUGGGGUAAAGGAGGUGCAGCCUAUGACAGGUCCUGCUAUUGCUGUGGAAGGGUGGGGACAGUAUAAAGGCAUUCUCUGGGUGAAAUGCAGCAUGUUGUAAUCUCCCUUUGGGAAAAGUGAGACUUCCCUGCUAUUGCACUUCCCACAUCUGGCAGCCAGUGUCAGGUUUACUGCUAUCUAUUGAUAGCCCUCUCCCCACCCAACCAAGUAAAGCCUCCAGUUUUACUGGCCUGCAGCAGCCCAGGGACCCUUUGAAUAUCUGAAAUGGGCCUUCACCCCUGCCUCUUUGCUAGGUUGUCCAGACCCCACCUUGUCAUCUGUGAAAGCAAUAGAUGCAUCUAGGACUGUAAAAGGUGUGGUGGUCUCACAGUGGCAGGCCCCAGACCAAAUCCCGCAUCCAUCCCUUCAUCAUCUUUUCCUGCAAACUCACCUCAGGGAAAAAGAAAUCUUGAGCUCCUGACCUGUCAACUCAUGGGCAUCAGUGGCUUUGGGGAAGUGGUGGCAAUGCUUUGAAAAGCCAUGGCACAAAGUACAGGUUCUUGCAGAUGACAAAAACCUAGUUGUCAAUCUGCAUCCCCAGAAACUGGCACAAGAAGCAAGGGGGCGGUUCCCACUUGUAUAUAGAAAAUCACAGGGGUUAGGGUCACAAGUCAAUGGGCAAAGGGAGGGAACAAGUAAAAGGUCAAAAAACAGCAACAUUGUGGUACCAUACAUUUAGCACCUUAAUUCCCUGCUACCCCUCAACCCCACCAGCAGUGUUCCCCAAACAAGCUGUUAGUCCCAAGAGCGAUCAAACGUGCAGCUGCCCCAGGGUCUGAAUCCAGCUCCUUCAGCCCACUGUCCUGGCUGACCAAGCCAGUGAGAUUUCCAGCUCCACUGCACACUCCUCUGGGUAGGGCUGGCCAGGCUUCAUGGCACACUGUUAUCUUUCCCCCUUACUUCAGCCUCCAGCUUCAUCUUCCAUUUUUCCUUCCUCCCCAGCCCCAGGGGUUUCUGGGAUUUGUAGUCCAGACUCCCACUGAGUACAGCUCUGCAGACUGCUCUUGCAGUUACACACAUUACAUUCACAUUGUACUAGAAUAUUUGUGUGUGACCAAAACACUCAAAUAGAGCAGCUUUGCUGGGGUGGCUGUUUUCCUUGUCCUACUUUGAAUUUCAGAUGAUGUAGAAAUGGGAAGGUGGGUGCUAUUUCCCAAGAAGUGGAAUAUGACACUUAUCGGGCACACAGAUCAUUGGAACCUAGCCCCAUUUUGAAGCCACAAAACAUCCUCACACCACCUUGCCAAUGGCUCUGCUGUCUGUGCCACCACUUAGAAGAGGUCUGUCCUGAAGAGCAGGCUGCUUGAAUGUGACCCCUGCCUCAAGUCCAGGCUGGGGUUCUCUCAGGGUAAGAUUUACAUGCCCCCAUGUCUAGUCAAGUCCAUGGUACUAUGUUUAUGGCAUGACUCAUUGUUAGCUGGUCACCCUGGAAUGGAGAAAACCUAUCAACCCACUACUUUGGUGACCAGUGAAAACCCCUGUGGUCUCUUCCAGCCCCUUUCCAUUCCCUCUCGGCCUCUUGUAGGCUAAAAUCAAGUGUGGUUCUCCACCAGUUGAGUGGGUUCUCUAUGAUCUGGAUGGUGACAUAUUUACUCAGAUGGUACACUGCAUCCCAUGUGUACGUCUACCUUAGUGUCAUCACGCUUUUUAAAUGUAAAGACGGGACACCUGCCCACCCCUCCCCACAUACCCCCAGAUUUCUGCAUGGUGGGGAUGCAGGCUGCCUGCUGUGGGCUUAGGGGUCCCUACCUGCUGCCCUUUCCCCAGGAGUCCUGCACCAACUGUGUGCCCCCAGCCCAUCUGGCAGCUGCAGGAGACACAAAUCCAAGCUACCCUACCCCUGCUGCUGCUGCGCAGGCAGGGGGGCAGUAGGGUGGGGAGCACUUAGCCCUCAGCAUGCAUCCAUCCCCAUCCUGCACACAAAUCUGGGGGGGUACAUGCAUAAGCUCCUUUCCAUACAAGCAUAAUUUGACAUGAUGGCCAGAGGAUCACUCUUGUAAGGACGCGGGGGAGGGGCGAGAUGGCAGUACAAGGUGGAGAAUAGACCAGUAGACUGGGUUGCAGCACAACACCCAGAUUAAGAUGUAGAACAAGUCCAUAGCACAGGAUGACUCAAGAUAUUCCAGAUAUUUGUGGAAUAUAAUAUGUUAUUUGUUUAGAUCACUGUAUAAAAUGAGAAUUAGAAAGCAUGGGAACUUUGUAUUGCCCCCUGGGAGCCUACACUGUGUUGUACUGAUAGCCUGUUGUGGGUAUACGUGCAAUAACAUCUUGUCUGUCAGAUCGCAGCUGUAUUCUGGGUCAUGGAUUAUAGACAGUAAACCUGACCAAACUGUU